RNAcentral lists this long non-coding RNA (519 nucleotides) under Elaeis guineensis (African oil palm). Its description in RNAcentral is "long non-coding RNA (EGUI_LNC004253)". The record is from RNAcentral. Lineage: Eukaryota; Viridiplantae; Streptophyta; Magnoliopsida; Arecales; Arecaceae.
AUAAACAUUCAUCCAAAGAGACAUGAGUCAAAUAGAAACAACCUCAUUCAUUUAUACCAAAAGAGAGGUUACAAGAGUCAUAAUGAGCAUAAAGCUCUCAUACAUCCAAUCUACAAAAUAUAACUAAGUAAUCUAAUAUAAAAUGAUGAAAUCAAUGAGACUGGGCAUCGAGCACGAGAUCAAAAAAGGUGAGAUAUGAUCAACCUCAUCUUCGAUCGAAGGAUCUAGAUCGAAAGGAAGAUGUCGGAGGACGGAAAGCAAUAGGCUGAACAAAUGCUGGUAUCACUAGAUGCAGAGGGCCUAGACUGAAGCUGAGUCUUGAUGGCAUCAAGCUGGGACAAGAUUUCCCUCAUAGUAAGUCGGAGCCCAUCUAGAUCGGUAGAUACGAAGUCUCUGGAGUCUCUGAUGUCUGUCCGAAGUAGCUCAAGAGAGGAACGAAGAUGACUGUGGAGUCUCUCUAUCUCUUGAACCAGAUCAUCCAUCUGUGGUGAAAAAGAAGUCAAUGUGCCCACUCCAGCA